This 462-nucleotide ribosomal RNA is filed under the name uncultured bacterium. Its description in RNAcentral is "partial 16S ribosomal RNA". It matches the Rfam family "Bacterial small subunit ribosomal RNA", at positions 28 to 505 of the family's 1533-position model. The record is from RNAcentral.
GACGAACGCUGGCGGCGUGCUUAACACAUGCAAGUCGAACGGAAAGGCCCUGCUUGCAGGGUACUCGAGUGGCGAACGGGUGAGUAACACGUGGGUGAUCUGCCCUGCACUUCGGGAUAAGCCUGGGAAACUGGGUCUAAUACCGGCUAGGAGCCAUUUUUAGUGUGAUGGUUGGAAAGUUUUUUCGGUGUAGGAUGAGCUCACGGCCUAUCAGCUUGUUGGUGGGGUAAUGGCCUACCAAGGCGGCGACGGGUAGCCGGCCUGAGAGGGUGGACGGCCACAUUGGGACUGAGAGACGGCCCAGACUCCUACGGGAGGCAGCAGUGGGGAAUAUUGCACAAUGGGCGCAAGCCUGAUGCAGCGACGCCGCGUGGGGGAUGACGGCCUUCGGGUUGUAAACUCCUUUCGCUAGGGACGAAGCUUUUGUGACGGUACCUAGAUAAGAAGCACCGGCUAACUACG